This 465-nucleotide ribosomal RNA is filed under the name uncultured bacterium. Its description in RNAcentral is "partial 16S ribosomal RNA". It matches the Rfam family "Bacterial small subunit ribosomal RNA", at positions 28 to 507 of the family's 1533-position model. The record is from RNAcentral.
GACGAACGCUGGCGGCGUGCUUAACACAUGCAAGUCGAACGGAAAGGCCCCUUUGGGGGUACUCGAGUGGCGAACGGGUGAGUAACACGUGAGUAACCUGCCCUUGACUUCGGGAUAACUUCAGGAAACUGGGGCUAAUACCGGAUAGGAAUCCUUGCUGCAUGGUGGGGGUUGGAAAGCUUCGGCGGUUUUGGAUGUACUCGCGGGUUAUCAGCUUGUUGGUGGGGUAGUGGCUUACCAAGGCUUUGACGGGUAGCCGGCCUGAGAGGGCGACCGGCCACAUUGGGACUGAGAUACGGCCCAGACUCCUACGGGAGGCAGCAGUGGGGAAUAUUGCACAAUGGGCGGAAGCCUGAUGCAGCAACGCCGCGUGCGGGAUGACGGCCUUCGGGUUGUAAACCGCUUUCAGCAGGGGCGAAGCUUGUGGUGACGGUACCUGCAGAAGAAGCACCGGCUAACUACGUG